RNAcentral lists this ribosomal RNA (1170 nucleotides) under Triticum aestivum (bread wheat). Its description in RNAcentral is "partial small subunit ribosomal RNA". Lineage: Eukaryota; Viridiplantae; Streptophyta; Magnoliopsida; Poales; Poaceae. The record is from RNAcentral.
AUGGAUUAUCUUUGCAAGAGUAGAAGAUGUGCGGAAGCUAGGACGAUUUUUGAUUCUAUGGCCGGAAAGGACCAAAAACCGAACGUUACUAGCUACAGUAUUCUGCUUCAUGCGUAUGCUAUGGAACAGUCAUUUCAUGAUAUGCAUUGUCUCAUUGAAUUGAUGGUAGAAAAUGGUGUUGCACCAAAUCAUUCUGUGUACAACAUACUGAUAGACGCAUAUGCUAAGGGGAAAAUGGUUGAUGAUGUAAUGCACAUAUUUACAAAAAUGCGGCAGCAAGGAUUGAACCCAAAUGCUGUGAACUAUGGAACAGUAAUAAACUUACUCUGCAGUAUUGGCCGAAUGGAUGAUGCUAUGUUGCAAUUCAAUCAAAUGAUAACUGAAGAAUUAGUUCCUGAUAUCAUAGUUUUCAACACUCUUAUAAGUGGUUUUUUUUCUUGUGGAAAAUGGGAGAAGGUUCAUGAACUACUUGCUGAAAUGUUGAAUCGUGGCAUCUAUCCCGACAACGUGUUCUUCAACACAAUUAUGGAUCACCUUUGCAAAAAUGGAAGGGUUAUGGAAUCCCAAGAUCUCGCUGACCUGAUGAUACACAUGGGUUUGAAGCCUGACGUGCAUACUUAUAACACACUGAUGGGUGGAUACUUUUUCAUUGGUAAGAUGGAUGAAGUGAGGAAGUUACUUGACCAUAUGGUCUCAAUUGGCAUGGAACCGGAUGUUGUCACCUAUAACACACUGAUUGAUGGUUACUUUAAGAAUGGAAUGAUAGAUGAUGCGUUAGCUGUUUUCAGUGAAAUGUUGGACAAGAAAGUUAAGCCUUGCGUUAUCACUUAUAACACAGUGCUGCAUGGGUUAUUUCAUACUGGAAGGACUGUUGCUGCAAAUGAACUCUAUCUCAGGAUGAUUGACAGCGGAAUAUGUGUGGACAUUGUGACCUACAACAUAAUUCUCAGUGGUCUGUGUAGAAAUAACUGUAUGGAUGAAGCACUAAGAAUGUUUCAAAACCUGUGUUCAAGAAAUUAUCAACUUGAGAUCAGGACUUAUAAUAUUAUGAUUAGUGCAUUGCUUAAAGUUGGCAGGAAGGAAGAAGCCACAGGUUUGUUGGAUGGAAUCUCGGCCAAAGGAUUUGUGCCCGAUGCUGUUACGUAUAGAUUAAUGAUACAAAGCUUUUAG